This 457-nucleotide ribosomal RNA is filed under the name Sticta arbuscula. RNAcentral's name for it is "eukaryotic LSU rRNA". It matches the Rfam family "Eukaryotic large subunit ribosomal RNA", at positions 143 to 603 of the family's 3401-position model. The record is from RNAcentral. Lineage: Eukaryota; Fungi; Ascomycota; Lecanoromycetes; Peltigerales; Lobariaceae.
UUGUAAUUUGCAGAGGGUGUUUCGGGCGCGAUGCCGGUCUAAGUUACUAGGAACAGGACGUCGUAGAGGGUGAGAAUCCCGUAUGCGACCGGCGAUCAAGCCCGUGCGAAGCCCCUUCGACGAGUCGAGUUGUUUGGGAAUGCAGCUCAAAAUGGGUGGUAAAUUUCAUCUAAAGCUAAAUACCGGCCAGAGACCGAUAGCGGACAAGUAGAGUGAUCGAAAGAUGAAAAGCACUUUGGAAAGAGAGUCAAACAGUACGUGAAAUUGUUGAAAGGGAAGCGCUUGCGAUCAGACCGGUCCGCCGGCGAUCAGCCGCUGCUCGUCAGCGGUGCACUCGCCGGCGAUCCGGCCAGCAUCGGUUUGGGCGGCGGGACAAAAGCCCCGGGAACGUAGCUUCCCUCGUGAGUCUUAUAGCCCGGGGCGCCAUGCCGCCCGCCCGGACCGAGGACCGCGCUCG